GUCCCUUCGGGGACAUCUGAUAAAAUUGGAACGAUAUAGAGAAAAUUAGCAUGGCUUCUGUGCAAGGAUGACGCACAAAGUGAAAAAUGGUCCAAAAAAAUUUUUU
RNAcentral lists this small nuclear RNA (106 nucleotides) under Solanum tuberosum (potato). Lineage: Eukaryota; Viridiplantae; Streptophyta; Magnoliopsida; Solanales; Solanaceae. The record is from RNAcentral.